Paramisgurnus dabryanus is the source of this 1303-nucleotide non-coding RNA. The record is from RefSeq and is a predicted model, not a curated record. NCBI's taxonomy places the organism in Eukaryota, Metazoa, Chordata, Actinopteri, Cypriniformes, Cobitidae.
UCAACCUGGAAAAAAGCCACCCUGUUAGUUACAGUGCAUUAUCAUGAAAAAAAUAUGCAUUAAUUGCAAUCUUGCAUAUCCAAGGAACACAGAAUUAUUUGAUGGCUCUGCUGUGCAAAUAAGGGGUAUAUUGAUCCGCAUUUAACCAAUCCCAGUGAGCAUGCGCAAGCACACACGCACGCAGGCACACACGCGCACACACUCCUCUUUUUUUCUAGGCGGUUCCAAUCUGUUCUGUGUAUUCAUCUUUUUUUACAGUCUGUCGUAUUCAUUCAUCCAGAUCAUCCAGUCAAAAUGCUUUUUCGACUUCAUACGGCGCCAAAAGAACUGACAGGCUGACGAUGACGUCAAAGUAUCGCGAAAGCGAUUCGAGGAGUCUGCUUUCAAAUCGCUCUCGCGGAACUUUGACGUUGUACGUCUGUCAGUUGAUCUGGUUUAAUGUGAUUCGCGCUCUUUAUCCGUUGCAACUUGCUGUCUGAGGUAAAUAAGACGAGAAAGUUGAACCUUGCUCAUUAAAUGGAUAAAAGAAAACCAUGUAAGAGUUGGUUUGGAUAAAUAUGCGAAGGACAAUAAAUGUUAAGUGACCCAAAGACGGUUGGUCUUGUGGACAACGAGGAACAAACCGCCUAAAGGCGGUUGGAAAGCGUUUCCAGCACAAAUACUCAACGUGAACGAGAGCCUUGGGUAAAAAAAGGCAGAGUACCAGUCAGUGGUUAAAGACACACAAAAUGUGGACAUCAAAACAAAUGGCUACAUUUGCUCGUGAGGAAGAUGAUAAUGAAGAGGAUGAGACUCCUUCAAACCAUAAGAUAGUGGAUGAUUCACACUCAACUGCAAAGCAAUGAAAGAACACAUCUGUCACUAAAUUGAACCCAGUCACCUUGGAUUAUGCCCAAAAGUGUAUUACCAGAAACUCACCAGAACUGUGAUGGACUCCAUUUCCACCUUAGAAAAAAUGACAACAUGCUCCGUCACAGGGAAAAAAGGGACCACUGGUGAACAAAGACAGAGUCCUGACAGAGAAAGUGAAGCUAGUAAUAGGGAGCCUGCUGGAAGAGAAUCUGAGGACUGAUGCACAUAUAACAAUGGACAUGCAUAAAGACACAUCUCUAACAAUGGACAUGCAUAAAGACACAUCUCUCUCUCUCUCUCUCUCUCUCUCUCUCUCUCUCUCUCUCCCACAUACACACACACUCAGAUAUACAGUUGUUGUUGUAUGGACAGCAUUUUAUUGAUACUUGUUUUUUUAUGAAUAUGUUUGGAUACUUCUUAUAAUUUUCUGUAUGUUUGCAAAUAAAUUCUC